Molecule: long non-coding RNA, 350 nt
Filed under: Lupinus angustifolius (narrow-leaved blue lupine)
Lineage: Eukaryota; Viridiplantae; Streptophyta; Magnoliopsida; Fabales; Fabaceae
Description: long non-coding RNA (LANG_LNC001807)
Source: RNAcentral
GGGCAUCGUAGAAGCUUGCUAAGAGAUUCUUCAAACCUUAUCAAGUCAAACGCCAUAUUUGAGUUGUAGUAUACGAGCUAGCCUUGCUAGAAGGAUCCCAAAUACAUCCAAUUUUUCAUGUUUAUAAUCUCUGACCUUUUUAGCGUAAACCCCCUUACAAAAAAAAUAAGAAUAAAACAGAAGCAUGAUGAUUUUGAACACCACGACUAGGCAUGGGAAACAAGUAGGGGAGGACAAAAGGAAUCAUUCAACAAAAAAAGGGGGAAGAAGAUGUGAGGACUUUAGAGGCCAUUGAAAAAAUAUCUCACACUUUACAUCUACAAAUACAGAAGCAAGGUUGAAAACUAAUU